This is a non-coding RNA of Lepisosteus oculatus (spotted gar), 2092 nucleotides long. NCBI's taxonomy places the organism in Eukaryota, Metazoa, Chordata, Actinopteri, Semionotiformes, Lepisosteidae. The record is from RefSeq and is a predicted model, not a curated record.
AGGUUGCUGGAGGUACAAGAUGUCAUCUGAGUGAUCCGGAAUUGUCCUGAGGGGCCUUGAAUGAGUGUGGUGUUCGAUAUGUAAUUGUAGGUGAUACAGUGAGCUCUGUUUUGUAAUAAUGGGGAUGUCAGAACCCCCCUCCUCCCCUUAAUGAAAGUGAGCCAUUGGUGCUGCUACAAGGGUGAAGAAGGCGGAGGGAGAGAUGUGAAAAUGAAUCCUGUUAAAUGGAAGGGGUGAGAUUAGGGUUUGACAUACUUCCAUACCUUUGUUUUAAACUAAAUCUCAGUGGUUUUGGUCAAACUCUGAUUAAGGCAGAGAAGAAGCAUGGCUUGUACAGUUAGUUUAUUGAGAAAGCUUGGGAUGGACUGUUUUGGAGAACAGUGGUGAACAAACUGGAAUCUUCCCAUAUUGAAGCAGAAUCUGUGUGGAUUUGUUUCUUUUCUGCAAUGUGGUGGGAUUGAAGAGUGAGUAUAACCGAAGCAGCCACUGAAAGCAGCUCUGUCUGAGAGUGGCUCUGUUUCUGGUGUAAGCAAGCUCCAAAUGCAAGGAUGUAAUGUACAAGUAGGAAGCAUGAUAUUUCUACUUAGGUACUUGGAAGUGGGCAAGACUAGAGUUUGACCUCCCCCUAAACUUUGGUUCCAUCUAAUAAUCCAUCUUCACAAAAUUUGAGGCCCAAAACCACUAAAGUGAACAAUGCAGCUGAGAAAUUGGCACAAUUCAUAAAGAUAGAGUUAAACAUUAACCUGGAAACUCAUCAAACCAUUUGUGGUUCAGCAUUACUUUUUAAAUUAUUCUCCCAAUGCACAGGAGAACUGGAGUCCACUGAGGCACAGUGAGAAAACAAUAAUGCAGCGCACACAAUAUGCAUCCCCUUGGAUCCUUCUUCUAAAGGUUGCUGUGACUAAUAGCACUGUACCCAAUGGCAUUUUACAAUGCAUUACUAUUGAGGUAUUUGUCAUUGAUAUGAAUGACAAUGUUUCUGAGUUCAGUGAGGAAAGCAUGACUGGUAUUGUCCAGACUGGACUGAUAGCAGGGGUCCCAUUUAUGCAAGUGAAAGCUACUGAUCUUGAUGACCCCACUACUGCAAAUGCCGAGCUUCACUAUAGCCUGAUCGAUCAAAGUCGUAGCGCACCGUCCAGUAGCAUGUUCAGUAUUGAUGCCCAGACUGGUAGUGUGUCGCUGACUGCAGAAGGGGCAUCCAGCUUGGAUCCAGAAGUAUGCCACCAGUACAACAUGACAGCAAAUGUGAAGAUAUUAAUGGGAAGCCCACUGCUUAUUUUUCAACUGAUAUUGUGAUGAUAGAUGUCAUUACGAACACAUGGACCUCGCUGGAGCCUGUUCAUCUGCAGGAAAACCUGCCUGCCCCCUAGCCAAAGCAAAUCUCCCAGAGCUGAACUGGCAGCUGUCAAGAGGGAAGAGAAGCCGAGAGAAUGACUCAGCUGCUAGCUAAGUGGCAGCUUUGCAGAUGAACUCGCACCAGUUCUGCAGAUGGCCUUUUAAACCCUCCAUUUCUUUCUUCUUGUGCAUGGAGAGCCUACAAUCGUGAUAUUAAAAUUAGAAAGAGAUGAUGCUAUGCAGAGAUCGUGGUCUCCCGAAGUACAGCUCUUAAUAAAGAAACUUUUGGAGCAGAAAUGUUUUGCCAAUCUGCCUGCAACACCUGAUAGCCACACACCUACAGAAGGCUCCACAACCAAAACACUGCGUUUUUCCAUUGAGUAGAAUUAACCUCUGCUUGGUCUUUAACAUUUCUUUUCUUCAGUUUAAAGCAAGCUUCUCGAAAGACUCCCACUGGAAAUGCACAUAACAUAAAUGUAGACAUCAACCCUUUACAUUAAAUAUCACCGUAACAAAAUGGGGCUAUGAUAUGUUUUGUUAAUUACAUGGUUCAAAUCCAGAUUUGAGGAUAAUAUCCUCAAAAAAUCCCUCUUUUAAAAAUAAGUUCUCUUUACUUCCUAGUACCUGUUCUGUCUUGUUUAUUGUUUGAGCUGAGGCUCUCUCUUCCUGUUAAUGCCAAACUAACUGCAAACUAGUUUAUUGAUAACAGACUAUUAUGAUUUAUUUUAACAUUAUGGUAAAUGUUUUUCCAAGGGGU